Regulatory RNA element from Pasteurellaceae bacterium 15-036681, 147 nucleotides. It matches the Rfam family "Histidine operon leader". From Rfam's summary of the family: At least 6 amino acid operons are known to be regulated by attenuation. In each a leader sequence of 150-200 bp is found upstream of the first gene in the operon. NCBI's taxonomy places the organism in Bacteria, Pseudomonadati, Pseudomonadota, Gammaproteobacteria, Pasteurellales, Pasteurellaceae. The record is from Rfam.
UCAUCAUCACCAUUUACCUGAAUAAUCUUUCGGGCAUUUUGUGUGUUCGGAAGAAACUUCCGAGCGAAAUGUGUAGCGAAUGCAAAUAGCAAAAAAGCCAAAACAAAUUUCAACCCCUCGGAAGAUAACUUUCGGGGGGUUUCUUUU